RNAcentral lists this ribosomal RNA (292 nucleotides) under uncultured bacterium. RNAcentral's name for it is "partial 16S ribosomal RNA". It matches the Rfam family "Bacterial small subunit ribosomal RNA", at positions 505 to 796 of the family's 1533-position model. The record is from RNAcentral.
GUGUCAGCAGCCGCGGUAAGACGAAGGUGGCUAGCGUUAUUCGGAUUCACUGGGCAUAAAGCGCGCGUAGGCGGCUCUUCAAGUCGGUGGUGAAAGCCCGCAGCUCAACUGCGGAACAGCCUUCGAUACUGUCGAGCUUGAGUGCAGGAGGGGUGAUCGGAACUCCAGGUGUAGCGGUGAAAUGCGUAGAUAUCUGGAGGAACACCGGAGGCGAAGGCGGAUCACUGGACUGCCACUGACGCUGAGGCGCGAAAGCUAGGGGAGCAAACAGGAUUAGAAACCCCUGUAGUCC